GUCCUGUUGAUUAUUUAAUAGGUCUGGCCUGCCCAGUGAUAAUUUUAACGGCCGCGGUAUAUUGACCGUGCAAAGGUAGCAUAAUCAUUAGUCUUUUAAUAGGAGGCUGGUAUGAAAGGUCUCACGAGAAAUUAACUGUCUCAAUUACAAGUUCGAAUUUAUCUUUUGAGUCAAAAGACUUAAAUUCAAUUGGAGGACGAGAAGACCCUAUAGAGCUUAACAUUUUUUCUUCUAUAUUUUUUCAGGUUAUAUUAUUUAUUUAUAUUGGAAAAAUUGUUUUGUUGGGGUGACAAUAAAUAUAUAUUUAACUUUUAUCAUAAUAUUUACAUUAAUUUAUGAUUUUUGGAUCCAAAAUUUUUGAUCAUUAGUUCAAGUUACC
This 379-nucleotide ribosomal RNA is filed under the name Ischnura pamelae. Its description in RNAcentral is "partial large subunit ribosomal RNA". Lineage: Eukaryota; Metazoa; Arthropoda; Insecta; Odonata; Coenagrionidae. The record is from RNAcentral.